ACUGCUUCUCAGCCUUUUAGCUAAGAUCAAGUGUAGUAUCUGCUCUUACCAGUUCAAUGUCUGAUAUGUUCUCUAUCUGAGAACGCAACAUUAAUCGGAAAUUUGGCACUAGGCGAUGGACUGUGAGCUUGCUCUGUCUACUCCAUGCAUCCUGGUAUUGCAGUGCUUCCAGGAAAGAUGCAUUGCCA
Molecule: small nuclear RNA, 188 nt
Organism: Nycticebus coucang (slow loris)
Lineage: Eukaryota; Metazoa; Chordata; Mammalia; Primates; Lorisidae
Product: U2 spliceosomal RNA
Exons: 1
Source: RefSeq, a predicted model, not a curated record